Non-coding RNA from Sus scrofa (pig), 3216 nucleotides. The record is from RefSeq and is a predicted model, not a curated record. NCBI's taxonomy places the organism in Eukaryota, Metazoa, Chordata, Mammalia, Artiodactyla, Suidae.
AAACCCAGCUCGUGAGGGGGUAACGCCUUCUCUCGAAUCCGGUCCCUGCACCCCGCAGUGACCCUCUUCCCUCCGCCCACCAGUCGCAUCCUCCUAGGACAGGGAGAGGGCGGGGCUGGAGGGCGGUCGACCUCCGGAAUUUCCCCGCGUGGGUAGGAGAAGCGCGGUGGGAGUUCAGGGUAUCAUAAGAGACAGAGCCAGAGGAGACACUCAGGGCUCCUAGGUCUGGGUUGGUUUGGACAGAGGGGCAUCCACCAGAAACCGAAUUCUGGCUGUUAUCUGUACCUGUGAAGACUCAUUACAGCGCAGAGAAUCAGGGAGGAUGGAGCACCUGAUAGUUGUAUCUUCUGUAGAUUCUCCAUUCCCUAGAGCAGUGACCUUCAAACUUUAGCCUGUACUAGGACCACCUGGAAGGCUUUUGAAAACAGGUUGCUGUUCCUGCCCAUUUCUGAUUCGGUAAGUCUGAAAGGGAUCCAAAAACUGCUUUUCUAACAAGUUCUCAAGUGAUGCUGUUGACUGUGGGUCAAGGGACCACACUCUGAGAAUCAAUUCCCUAGAGAUGGAAGGCAAGCCAGAGAAAAUGACGCCUGAGUGAAGGCCUAUGUUGGGGAAUUCCUCUAAAUAAUGAGUUGUUCCUGGAGGGUAGCAAAUGGUCUCCAUAGCCUUAUUCAGAUGUGAUUUAACAGUAGGUCCAUCCAUUCUCACCUGCUCUGAGUGCUGUCCUCUAAUGGCCUAUAGCUGCCCCCUUUUCAGAAUAUUACCUUCAGCUGCCUUCUUCAGAGAACCCUUAGCCAAAGGGAUCUGGCUCACAUUGGCUAUGCCCUUGGGGCCCAAGGGUGAGCCCAUAGCAAACAACUGACAGACCUAAGUUAUAAAAGGUCAUUCCUCUUCCUUCAAGAUGGAAAGAAUUAUAGUGUAAUUUAUCCAAAAUUAAACUCCAUAGACAUUGCAUUCUUACAACUCUGUUUUCUCUGCCCUAUUUUGCUUCAGUGAUUCCCUCUUCUGAGGCCACCCGCCAGUAAAUUCUGCAUACCUGAAUCCUAGUCUCAGCUUUUGUUUACUGGGACCCGAAGCCACAUCGAGGAGUGUUCAUGAGACCACAGAGCAAGAUUUGAUGUGUUUUGGGAGGGACUUCAGCUACUCUUUAUCAGAUUUGGGGAACUAACACGGGCACUCUCAAAGUCCAAGAACCACCAGUGUCCACACUGUCCACAGGGAAGAUACUACAUCUAUGCAGUAACUGUCAUGGAGGAGACUGCAUUGGGGUCUUAAUUGCAGGGGUGGGCUGCUUGACAAACGGGGAAUAGAAUGAUUCGAAAGGGGUUGAGUCCUGGUUCUCUGCAACUUCAGAACAUCCUCCUGCUCAGGGACUCUCCUCAAAGGUUUUAUCAUUAGUGGAGCCUUAGUGAUUUUAGAUGCCUGCCAGGUGGUUUGUAGGGGUAGUAGAUUUAUAUGACAACACUGGUCUUGGAAUCAAUUAGCUCACAACUAUCUAAUUUACAUGGGAGAUCGUGGGAAUGUCAGGUUCAAAGAAAAAAUUUGCAGCAUUAGUAGAGCCAGUGAUGAUGGUGAUCACCACGAUAGUCCUAGUCAAGUUUUCAGUGCUAUAACAGCCUGGAGUUUCUGAGAUCCUCUUGGGCAGUCUGCCCCUCCCAGAAGGUUCUGCCUGUGGCUUUCCUUGGGGACUAAGAUCUGUCACGUGGAUUGGUGGGAAAGGGAGAAGGGGAAAGCUGUAUCUCUUGAUCUUUUCUUUAUAAAGACUAUCAGCAGCAGCAGCAUCUGCAAUGUUGUGAUCAGGAUGGCUGCUUCCACACCUGCCCCUCACCUAUACUCAUCUCCCAGGGAAGUUAAGGAAAUUAGUUUUUCAUUAUUCUGGUCUUGGUUUUCCCCAGAACAUCCUGUCUUUUUCUCUUCAGAGCCAGCCACUGGAGGGCAUCAGGAGUAUGACACCUGGAUUUUCCCGAGCAGCCGGUGGCAGGAUUGAGACCUCUCCUAGACACUCAGGCAUAAUGCACUCAUGUUGAAGCUGCAGUCCUCCACCUUCCUCACUUUAGGUCUUUACUGUGGAGCAGCAAUGUUGCUCCCCUGGAGGGUUCACUUUGAUACAGCACCCUUUCCUGAUUUGGCCUGAACCAGUGUCUUGAGAGAAUUUUAUACAUUGUUUCACCCCAUCCUCCUCACCAACUUCCUGCACCUGGAAUAUUCUGAUCUGAAAACAGAAGCAGAUUUGGAAGCCGUCUGAGGAGUGUUGAGUUCCCUAGAGGUUCUCAAGAAGUGCAGAGAUUUCAAAGAAACUAAAAAAUGAAACACACCUUUCUCAGCUACCAGAGCUGGCUCUGUAAUCCCCUCACUGUCCUAACUGCCCUAGUGCUUAGUAAGAGACUUAUAAAGUCUCAAAUCCUGUGGGUUAUGGCCAAGAAUGGCCAGGUUUUGUUUUGUUUUUUUUUUUUUUAAUCAAUUUUUUUCUUACUAGGUUUGAGUUCAAGAAGGCAAAACAUCCAAAUAUUUUGAAACUAUUUUCCAUUUUUCAUGUAUGUCUAUUACCUAUGAAUUGUUAAGAGUCUUAAGAAUCACUGUUGCUGUAUAAAGAUUAAGUCAGGGAUCACAUUUCUAUUUAGGUACACAACAGGGUUAUAAUGUUUGACAUUACUCACUGAUGUUUAAAUUUCAUGUUAUUUUUAAGUGCAAAAAAAAUAUUUUAAAGUGCCUGUACCUAUGUUCAUAGUAACUUGUGAAAAGGGAAAGAAAAACACCUAUUUUGUUCCUCAUACAAUCUUCUCUUUCCUGUUUUUGAUAUUCUGAAAUUCAUCUUAAUAUAAAAGACUGAACUUAAAUUCUAAAAGAGCAUGGGCUAGAUAGAGCUUCCAGCAUGUUCUUUACUCCUCUGAUUAGGAGAGGGUUUUGUUAUGAUUUCUUCUAUUUUUACCUGGUUUUAGAUUUUUUAACAGUGAGCAGAAAUUAAUUUUAUAAACAGAAAUGUUUAUAUAUGUUUUGAGAGAGAAAGAGAGGAGAUACCUGAAGAAGCAAGGAGUCCUCCCCUUCAGGGGUUCUCCAGGAGACCAGAAUGGGAGGGUACAGAGGAUGCUGACCCUAAGCCAUCUGUGUUCAUGUCACAGCAACUCUAUGAGCAGCCAGUCCCAACCAGUGUUUUUGGAUGGGCCAAUGAAAGGUCUAGAGCGCUUUUGAGGAAAACAAAAUACUGAAGAGCUGGGUGAG